This is a long non-coding RNA of Lolium perenne, 650 nucleotides long. RefSeq lists it as uncharacterized. The record is from RefSeq and is a predicted model, not a curated record. Lineage: Eukaryota; Viridiplantae; Streptophyta; Magnoliopsida; Poales; Poaceae.
UUAGAGCAAUUUCAACCUAUUCUGCAUGGAGUGUGCUUGAUAUAGGAAGCAGAAGCAUGGAAGGGGAACAUGCCAGUAGAAGGAAAGACAACUCAGCCUUGGAAUCGUGCUGUCAAUAUGGGUUAAUUUUCGAUCUAUAUAUUCUGAAUUGAAGUGUGCUUAAUGUAUAAUUAUAUUUGGUUAUCCACAGUAGUUAACCAAUGCAGAUAUUGAACAAAAUCAUGAAUCCUCAGUGUUCAGUUUUUCCAUCCACUGAUACAAGUAAAUGCAAGUCACGAGAAAGUUCUUGGUGUUUUCACUUCUCUUGACGAAAAAGAAACUUAGCCAUCAAAUUUUCAGUUCGGGAAGCAGACCAGGAUGGACCAGUACUUUGUGAAGGCCAACCACUGAUCGUAUUCUUUAGAUGCCUAAAUAAACAACUUUCUUCUUAAUCAGCUUAUGGGCCUUUCUCUUUAUGGCAAUUAAAGAAUCACGGUUCAUCCUUGCAUGGCUCACACAAGAGAUCAAGAGGCGGCAACCUCUUUAGUGUGCUGAAUCAAGACUGAAGGACAUUCUUAGCAGCAGAAAUUGGUGUCACGGCUAGAAGUGGAGAUGCACAAUCUGUUAUUUUCUCAUGGAAGUAUAUACUAUUAAAUUAUUAGAUACACAGG